GGUAGAUCUUAUACUCAUUCCUUUCUAUUGAAGCCACCAAAUCUGAGGAUCGAAGCAAUUAUCGAAGCUCUUCAAGAAAAGAAAGUGGUGAUUCUACUAGAUGGCAUAUCCUGUUACUACAACCCGUAGCUACACAUGUUAAUGGAGUUUAUGCAAGAGAUGAGUCAGCAAAGGUAGCAGAUAAACAGCAAAGACAGACCGUCAAUGGAAGCUCCACCCCUUCUUAGUGAUAUGUGUUUUCGUUUACUACUAAUAUGUAAUGUGAGACUCUUAUUAUUUUGUCUAGGACGUAUUGUUAAAAAUGUUCUGGCCUUCCGAACUUUUGCCCUGAAGUCGACCUCAGCAUAUUUGUGUUGCUUUUGGGCUCUAUGCAUCCAAUUUUGUGUAACUUGCUUGUAGGCAAUGUAGCUUUUUACAAGUUUACCAGUACAUUAAUCUCUAACACAUGUUAUGUGUAACUUGCUGAAAGUCUUAACACACGUUAUAAUAGAGCCUUGACACACGUUAUAUCAGUUA
Long non-coding RNA from Helianthus annuus (common sunflower), 516 nucleotides. RefSeq lists it as uncharacterized. The record is from RefSeq and is a predicted model, not a curated record. NCBI's taxonomy places the organism in Eukaryota, Viridiplantae, Streptophyta, Magnoliopsida, Asterales, Asteraceae. The transcript has 3 exons.